UCAUUGGGUUUAAAGGGUCCGUAGGCGGUUUGAUAAGUCAGUGGUGAAAGCCCAUCGCUCAACGAUGGAACGGCCAUUGAUACUGUCAGACUUGAAUUAUUGGGAAGUAACUAGAAUAUGUAGUGUAGCGGUGAAAUGCUUAGAUAUUACAUGGAAUACCAAUUGCGAAGGCAGGUUACUAUCAAUUUAUUGACGCUGAUGGACGAAAGCGUGGGGAGCGAACAGGAUUAGAUACCCUGGUAGUCCACGCCGUAAACGAUGGAUACUAGCUGUUGGGAGCAAUCUCAGUGGCUAAGCGAAAGUGAUAAGUAUCCCACCUGGGGAGUACGUUCGCAAGAAGAAACUCAAAGGAAUUGACGGGGGCCCGCACAAGCGGGGAGCAUGUGGUUUAAUUCGAUGCUACGCGAGGAACCUUA
This 416-nucleotide ribosomal RNA is filed under the name uncultured Flavobacterium sp. RNAcentral's name for it is "bacterial SSU rRNA". It matches the Rfam family "Bacterial small subunit ribosomal RNA", at positions 551 to 973 of the family's 1533-position model. The record is from RNAcentral. Lineage: Bacteria; Pseudomonadati; Bacteroidota; Flavobacteriia; Flavobacteriales; Flavobacteriaceae.